CACGAAGUUAGCCGGGGCUUCUUCUGGUGGUACCGUCAUCAUCGUCCCACCCGAAAGAGCUUUACAACCCUAAGGCCUUCAUCACUCACGCGGCAUUGCUGGAUCAGGCUUGCGCCCAUUGUCCAAUAUUCCCCACCGCUGCCUCCCGUAGGAGUCUGGGCCGUGUCUCAGUCCCAGUGUGGCUGAUCAUCCUCUCAGACCAGCUACCGAUCGAUGGCUUGGUAGGCCUUUACCCCACCAACUACCUAAUCGGACGCGGGCUCAUCCAACAGCAAUAAAUCUUUCCCCCGAAGGGCGUAUGCGGUAUUAGCGACAGUUUCCCGUCGUUAUUCCCCACUGCUGGGUAGAUUCCCACGCGUUACUCACCCGUGCGCCACUAAGGCCGAAGCCUUCGUUCGACUUGCAUGUGUUAGGCAUGCCGCCAGCGUUCGUUCUGAGCCAGGAUCAAACUC
RNAcentral lists this ribosomal RNA (452 nucleotides) under uncultured Telmatospirillum sp. RNAcentral describes it as "partial 16S ribosomal RNA". The record is from RNAcentral. Lineage: Bacteria; Pseudomonadati; Pseudomonadota; Alphaproteobacteria; Rhodospirillales; Rhodospirillaceae.